ACAACUUCAACAAAAUGUCUGCAGUCGUUUCGCAGCGAAAGUCAAGUGGUUGGAACUCGGGACUCCCUUAAACUGCAAGCUACGCGAAUACGUGUUAUCAUCUCGAACGCAUAAAGGGGAAGCAUUGUGCGCGUGUCGCGGAGUAACGUAACCGCUAUCGAUAAUCUCAGACUACGCAACAUUCUUUUACUAGUUCUCGCGACGGCAACGGCGGAAUGCUGUGCAGAUACGAUUUACGAGGCCGCAAGUUAUAGUUCUACGGUUUUUCAACGGAUCGACGAGGCUACUGCAAGUUUCUUACGGGUCAGUCUGUUUAUAAUGAAGAACGGUUCCCGUGACUGAAAGCAGGUAAAGG
Long non-coding RNA from Ceratina calcarata, 355 nucleotides. RefSeq lists it as uncharacterized. The record is from RefSeq and is a predicted model, not a curated record. The transcript is spliced from 3 exons. NCBI's taxonomy places the organism in Eukaryota, Metazoa, Arthropoda, Insecta, Hymenoptera, Apidae.